Molecule: unclassified non-coding RNA, 306 nt
Filed under: uncultured fungus
Lineage: Eukaryota; Fungi
Description: partial contains 5.8S ribosomal RNA, internal transcribed spacer 2, and large subunit ribosomal RNA
Rfam family: 5.8S ribosomal RNA (bases 1-52)
Source: RNAcentral
AACGCACAUUGCGCCCUCUGGUAUUCCGGAGGGCAUGCCUGCUUGAGUGUCAUUAACCUCUCUCGACCCCCGCCUUUUGUGUGGAUGUGUCGUUGGUGUUGGGAGUCGCGUCCGCCCCAGGUGGACGCCCUCCUCAAAUGCAUUGGUGCGGCCCAUUGCCCGGUUACACAACGUUCUAGGUUCGUCCAACUCGUUGCAAUCCGAAGCAGAUGCAGGCGCUGCACCUAAAGCCCGGGCGGUGCGUCCUCGCUCCGCCCAUAUCUACUCAUUGACCUCAGAUCAGGUAGGAAUACGCGCUGAACUUAA